RNAcentral lists this ribosomal RNA (496 nucleotides) under uncultured bacterium. RNAcentral describes it as "partial 16S ribosomal RNA". It matches the Rfam family "Bacterial small subunit ribosomal RNA", at positions 29 to 507 of the family's 1533-position model. The record is from RNAcentral.
AUGAACGCUGGCGGCGUGCCUAAUACAUGCAAGUCGAGCGAACAGACGAGGAGCUUGCUCCUCUGACGUUAGCGGCGGACGGGUGAGUAACACGUGGAUAACCUACCCAUAAGACUGGGAUAACUUCGGGAAACCGGAGCUAAUACCGGAUAAUAUAUUGAACCGCAUGGUUCAAUAGUGAAAGACGGUUUUGCUGUCACUUAUAGAUGGAUCCGCGCCGCAUUAGCUAGUUGGUAAGGUAACGGCUUACCAAGGCAACGAUGCGUAGCCGACCUGAGAGGGUGAUCGGCCACACUGGAACUGAGACACGGUCCAGACUCCUACGGGAGGCAGCAGUAGGGAAUCUUCCGCAAUGGGCGAAAGCCUGACGGAGCAACGCCGCGUGAGUGAUGAAGGUCUUCGGAUCGUAAAACUCUGUUAUUAGGGAAGAACAAAUGUGUAAGUAACUAUGCACGUCUUGACGGUACCUAAUCAGAAAGCCACGGCUAACUACGUG